RNAcentral lists this ribosomal RNA (467 nucleotides) under uncultured Flavobacteriaceae bacterium. RNAcentral describes it as "bacterial SSU rRNA". It matches the Rfam family "Bacterial small subunit ribosomal RNA", at positions 36 to 496 of the family's 1533-position model. Lineage: Bacteria; Pseudomonadati; Bacteroidota; Flavobacteriia; Flavobacteriales; Flavobacteriaceae. The record is from RNAcentral.
CUAGCGGCAGGCUUAACACAUGCAAGUCGAGGGGUAACAGGGAGUGCUUGCACUCCGCUGACGACCGGCGCACGGGUGCGUAACGCGUAUGCAACCUACCUUCUACAGGGGGAUAGCCCAGAGAAAUUUGGAAUAAUACCCCAUACGAUCAUUAAUCGGCAUCGAUUGAUGAAGAAAACUCCGGUGGUAGAAGAUGGGCAUGCGUCCUAUUAGUUAGUUGGUGAGGUAACGGCUCACCAAGACGUCGAUAGGUAGGGGUCCUGAGAGGGAGAUCCCCCACACUGGUACUGAGACACGGACCAGACUCCUACGGGAGGCAGCAGUGAGGAAUAUUGGACAAUGGAGGCAACUCUGAUCCAGCCAUGCCGCGUGCAGGAAGACGGCCCUAUGGGUUGUAAACUGCUUUUAUACAGGAAGAAUUGUACCUACGUGUAGGUAUUUGACGGUACUGUACGAAUAAGGAUCGG